CCUACGGGCGGCAGCAGUGGGGAAUAUUGGACAAUGGGGGGAACCCUGAUCCAGCGACGCCGCGUGAGUGCAGAAGUAUUUCGGUAUGUAAAGCUCUAUCAGCAGGGAAGAAAAUGACGGUACCUGACUAAGAAUCCCCAGCUAACUACGUGCCAGCAGCCGCGGUAAUACGUAGGGGGCCAGCGUUAUCCGGAUUUACUGGGUGUAAAGGGAGCGUAAACGGUGCAGCACGUCUGAUGUGAACGGCCGGGGCCCAACCCCGGGACUGCAUUGGAAACUGUUGAACUGGAGUACAGGAGAGGGAAGCGGAAUUACGAGUGUAGCGGUGAAAUGCGUAGAUAUUAGGAUGAAAGCCAGUGGCGAAGGCGGCUUACUGGACUGUAACUGACGUUGAGGCUCGAAAGCGUGGGGAGCAAACAGGAUUAGAUACCCCAGUAGUC
RNAcentral lists this ribosomal RNA (440 nucleotides) under uncultured bacterium. RNAcentral's name for it is "partial 16S ribosomal RNA". It matches the Rfam family "Bacterial small subunit ribosomal RNA", at positions 338 to 795 of the family's 1533-position model. The record is from RNAcentral.